ACGCUCGACACCUACGGAGGCAGCAGUUGGGAAUAUUGGACAAUGGAGGAAACUCUGAUCCAGUGACGCCGCGUGAAGGAAGAAGGUCUUCGGAUUGUAAACUUAUUUUGUCAGGGAAGAAAAAUGACUGUACCUGAAGAAAAAGCACCGGCUAACUACGUGCCACAGCCGCGGUAAUCUGAGCGGGCUGGCAAGGC
Molecule: ribosomal RNA, 197 nt
Filed under: uncultured bacterium
Lineage: Bacteria
Description: partial 16S ribosomal RNA
Rfam family: Bacterial small subunit ribosomal RNA
Source: RNAcentral